CGAAACUGUACAUCAUCUUUC
This 21-nucleotide microRNA is filed under the name Ananas comosus (pineapple). RNAcentral describes it as "microRNA s1585_c092b". The record is from RNAcentral. Lineage: Eukaryota; Viridiplantae; Streptophyta; Magnoliopsida; Poales; Bromeliaceae.